AGAGUUUGAUUCUGGCUCAGGAUGAACGCUGGCGGCGUGCUUAACACAUGCAAGUCGAACGGAGUGCCCUUGAAGGAGUUUUCGGACAACAGAUAGGGUUACUUAGUGGCGGACGGGUGAGUAACGCGUGAGGAACCUGCCUUGGAGUGGGGAAUAACAGCUGGAAACAGCUGCUAAUACCGCAUGAUGCAGUUGGGCCGCAUGGCUCUGACUGCCAAAGAUUUAUCGCUCUGAGAUGGACUCGCGUCUGAUUAGCUAGUUGGCGGGGUAACGGCCCACCAAGGCGACGAUCAGUAGCCGGACUGAGAGGUUGGCCGGCCACAUUGGGACUGAGACACGGCCCAGACUCCUACGGGAGGCAGCAGUGGGGAAUAUUGGGCAAUGGGCGCAAGCCUGACCCAGCAACGCCGCGUGAAGGAAGAAGGCUUUCGGGUUGUAAACUUCUUUUGUCAGGGACGAAGCAAGUGACGGUACCUGACGAAUAAGCCACGGCUAACUACGUGCCAGCAGCCGCGGUAAUACGUAAGUGGCAAGCGUUAUCCGGAUUUACUGGGUGUAAAGGGCGUGU
Molecule: ribosomal RNA, 568 nt
Filed under: uncultured bacterium
Lineage: Bacteria
Description: bacterial SSU rRNA
Rfam family: Bacterial small subunit ribosomal RNA
Source: RNAcentral